This 251-nucleotide ribosomal RNA is filed under the name uncultured bacterium. RNAcentral describes it as "partial 16S ribosomal RNA". It matches the Rfam family "Bacterial small subunit ribosomal RNA", at positions 524 to 776 of the family's 1533-position model. The record is from RNAcentral.
UACGUAGGGUGCAAGCGUUAAUCGGAAUUACUGGGCGUAAAGCGUGCGCAGGCGGUUUUGUAAGUCAGAUGUGAAAUCCCCGGGCUUAACCUGGGAACUGCGUUUGAAACUACAAGGCUAGAGUGUGACAGAGGGGUGGAAUUCCACGUGUAGCAGUGAAAUGCGUAGAGAUGUGGAGGAACACCGAUGGCGAAGGCAGCCCCCUGGGUUAACACUGACGCUCAGGCACGAAAGCGUGGGGAGCAAACAGG